AAUGAACGCUGGCGGCAUGCCUAACACAUGCAAGUCGAACGGAAACACGAGUUCGGGUGCCGACGGGUGGCGAACGGGGGAGGAAUGCAACCGAACGUACCCAGUAGCGGUGGGAAAGGGAGCGAAAGCUGUGAUAAUACCUCAUGCGAUAUGAGGUAGAGAGCGGGGGAGUGAGCAGCAAUGUUUGGCCUCGCGUGUUUGGAGCGGCCGAUGUCGGAUUAGAUAGUUGGUGGGGUAACGGCCUACCAAGGCGACGAUCCGUAGCUGAUCUGAGAGGAUGAUCCGCCACACUGGAACUGAGACACGGCCCAGACUCCUACGGGAGGCAGCAGUAGGGAAUCUUCCGCAAUGGGCGAAAGCCUGAUCGAGCAAUGCCGCGUGAGGGAUGAAGGUCUUCGGAUCGUAAACCGCUGUUGUCAGGAACGAAACAGUGUCCGCUUACCCCGGCCGGUAAUGACGGUACCUGCAGAAUAAGCCCCGGCUAACUACGUG
This 492-nucleotide ribosomal RNA is filed under the name uncultured bacterium. RNAcentral describes it as "partial 16S ribosomal RNA". It matches the Rfam family "Bacterial small subunit ribosomal RNA", at positions 29 to 507 of the family's 1533-position model. The record is from RNAcentral.